RNAcentral lists this ribosomal RNA (1416 nucleotides) under Nodipecten subnodosus. RNAcentral's name for it is "bacterial LSU rRNA". It matches the Rfam family "Bacterial large subunit ribosomal RNA", at positions 800 to 2096 of the family's 2925-position model. The record is from RNAcentral. Lineage: Eukaryota; Metazoa; Mollusca; Bivalvia; Pectinida; Pectinidae.
GGGGAUGAGCUGUGGGUAGGGGUGAAAGGCCAAUCAAACUCCGUGAUAGCUGGUUCUCCCCGAAAUGCAUUUAGGUGCAGCGUCGUAUUAUAGCUUGGUGGAGGUAGAGCGACUGGUUGGUUGAGCGGGACUACAAUCUUAGCAAUGUCAGCCAAACUCCGAAUGCCACUAAUUGUGUUGUACGGCAGUGAGACUGUGGGGGAUAAGCUUCAUAGUCGAGAGGGAAACAGCCCAGAUCGCCGGUUAAGGCCCCUAAGGGUGUACUAAGUGGAAAAGGAUGUGGGAUCGCGAAGACAGCCAGGAGGUUGGCUUAGAAGCAGCCAUCCUUGAAAGAGUGCGUAAUAGCUCACUGGUCGAGUGGUUCUGCGCCGACAAUGUAGUGGGGCUCAAGUACACCGCCGAAGCCGCGGCAACAAUUUUUUUGUUGGGUAGGGGAGCGUCGUGCAUGGGUUGAAGCGUUACCGUAAGGAGGCGUGGACUGUGUGCGAGUGAGAAUGCAGGCAUGAGUAACGAAUUGAUAGGUGAGAAUCCUAUCCGCCGGAUGACUAAGGGUUCCUGGGUCAAGUUCGUCUUCCCAGGGUGAGUCGGGACCUAAGGCGAGGCCGACAGGCGUAGUCGAUGGAUAACCAGUUGAUAUUCUGGUACCCGUACAUGCGCGCCCAUGAUAAAGCACUGAUACUAACCACCGCGGAUGCAUUGCUGGUCUUCUUUGAAGUCUGGUGGUGUUGAUGUCGUGGGGCCUGAUGUGUGGUUCAAGUGAUGGGGUGACGCAGUGAGGUAGCCACGCCACUUAUUGGAUUGGUGGUGUAAGCGUGUAAGCCGUGUGGUAGGUAAAUCCGCCGCAUUUUUGGUUGAGACGUGAUGCGUAGACCCAAUGGGGUUGAUGGUGGUGAUCCUGUACUGUCGAGAAAAGCCUCUAGCGAUGUGUGUGUAUGGCCCGUACCCUAAACCGACACAGGUAGUCAGGUUGAAAAUACUAAGGCGUUCGGGUGAACUGUGGUUAAGGAAUUCGGCAAAAUGCCCCCGUAACUUCGGGAGAAGGGGGGCCCCACGGUGUGAAGGUCUUUGCGGCUGGAAGCGUUGUGGGGUCGCAGAGAAUAGAGGGAAGCGACUGUUUAUCAAAAACACAGGUCCAUGCGAAGACGUUAAGUUGAUGUAUAUGGACUGACGCCUGCCCGGUGCUGGAAGGUUAAGAGGACCGGUUAGUCAACGUUGUUGGCGAAGCUGAGAAUUUAAGCCCCAGUAAACGGCGGUGGUAACUAUAACCAUCCUAAGGUAGCGAAAUUCCUUGUCGGGUAAGUUCCGACCUGCACGAAUGGCGUAACGACUUCUCUGCUGUCUCAACCACAGGCCCGGUGAAAUUGCACUACGAGUAAAGAUGCUCGUUACGCGCGGCAGGACGAAAAGACCCCAGGG